GCAGCUGUGCAUGCUCUUUUGACUUGGAGACAACUCUUAUUGGGAAGAAAAGUGGACAUUUUCACUGAUCACAAGAGUCUCAAGUACAUCUUCACUCAGCCUAAUCUCAACCUCAGGCAAACUCGAUGGGUCGAAAUGAUUCAAGAGUAUAAUCCGAGCAUCGAGUAUACUCUAGGCAAGGCCAAUGUGAUUGUUGACGCAUUGAGCAGGAAAGCUUAUUGCAACAGUCUUAUUCUCAAGCCUUAUCAACCCGAGCUUUGUGAAGCUUUCCGCAAACUUAAUCUACAAGUUGUUCCUCAAGGCUUCCUCGCCAACUUUCAAGUCUCUCCUACCUUGGAAGACCAGAUUCGCCAAGCCCAGCUUCUUGAUGCUAUGGUGAAAAAGGUGAAGAUUGGGAUUGCCAAGAGUCAACCCAAGUACAAGUGCUACCGCCUUGAUGACAAGGAUACUCUCUUCUUCGAGGAUCGUAUUGUUGUGCCCAAAGGUGAACUCCGUAAAGUGAUCAUGAAUGAGGCUCACAAUUCUCUCCUCUCCAUCCACCCUGGGAGCACGAAGAUGUAUCAGGACCUUAAGCAGGCUUAUUGGUGGACUCGAAUGAAGCGCGAGAUUGCUCAGUUCGUGAAUGAGCGUGAUGUCUGCAGA
This 642-nucleotide ribosomal RNA is filed under the name Triticum aestivum (bread wheat). RNAcentral describes it as "partial small subunit ribosomal RNA". Lineage: Eukaryota; Viridiplantae; Streptophyta; Magnoliopsida; Poales; Poaceae. The record is from RNAcentral.